AGUGAACGCUGGCGGUAGGCCUAAUACAUGCAAGUCGAACGGCAGCACAGUAAGAGCUUGCUCUUACGGGUGGCGAGUGGCGGACGGGUGAGGAAUACAUCGGAAUCUACUUUUUCGUGGGGGAUAACGUAGGGAAACUUACGCUAAUACCGCAUACGACCUACGGGUGAAAGCAGGGGAUCUUCGGACCUUGCGCGAUUGAAUGAGCCGAUGUCGGAUUAGUUAGUUGGGGGGGUAAAGGCCCACCAUGGCGACGAUCCGUAGCUGGUCUGAGAGGAUGGUCAGCCACACUGGAAGUGAGACACGGCCCAGGCGCCUGCGGGAGGCAGCAGUGGGGAAUAUUGGACAAUGGGCGCAAGCCUGAUCCAACCAUACCGCGUGGGUGAAGAAGACCUUCGGGUUGUAAAGCCCUUUUGUUGGGAAAGAAAAGCAGCAGGUUAAUACCCCGCGGUUCUGACGGUACCCAAAGAAUAAGCACCGGCUAACUUCGUG
Molecule: ribosomal RNA, 492 nt
Filed under: uncultured bacterium
Lineage: Bacteria
Description: partial 16S ribosomal RNA
Rfam family: Bacterial small subunit ribosomal RNA
Source: RNAcentral